UACGAAGGGUGCAAGCGUUAAUCGGAAUUACUGGGCGUAAAGGGUGCGUAGGCGGUCUGUUAAGUUGGAUGUGAAAGCCCCCGGGCUCAACCUGGGAAUGGCAUCCAAAACUGGCAGGCUGGAGUGCGGUAGAGGAUGGUGGAAUUCCCGGUGUAGCGGUGAAAUGCGUAGAGAUCGGGAGGAACAUCGAUGGCGAAGGCAGCCAUCUGGACCAGCACUGACGCUGAGGCACGAAAGCGUGGGGAGCAAACAGGAUUAGAUACCCCCGUA
This 270-nucleotide ribosomal RNA is filed under the name uncultured prokaryote. RNAcentral's name for it is "partial 16S ribosomal RNA". It matches the Rfam family "Bacterial small subunit ribosomal RNA", at positions 524 to 792 of the family's 1533-position model. The record is from RNAcentral.